Molecule: ribosomal RNA, 1528 nt
Filed under: Klebsiella aerogenes
Lineage: Bacteria; Pseudomonadati; Pseudomonadota; Gammaproteobacteria; Enterobacterales; Enterobacteriaceae
Also listed under: 5 other names
Description: bacterial SSU rRNA
Rfam family: Bacterial small subunit ribosomal RNA
Source: RNAcentral
AGAGUUUGAUCAUGGCUCAGAUUGAACGCUGGCGGCAGGCCUAACACAUGCAAGUCGAGCGGUAGCACAGAGAGCUUGCUCUCGGGUGACGAGCGGCGGACGGGUGAGUAAUGUCUGGGAAACUGCCUGAUGGAGGGGGAUAACUACUGGAAACGGUAGCUAAUACCGCAUAACGUCGCAAGACCAAAGUGGGGGACCUUCGGGCCUCAUGCCAUCAGAUGUGCCCAGAUGGGAUUAGCUAGUAGGUGGGGUAACGGCUCACCUAGGCGACGAUCCCUAGCUGGUCUGAGAGGAUGACCAGCCACACUGGAACUGAGACACGGUCCAGACUCCUACGGGAGGCAGCAGUGGGGAAUAUUGCACAAUGGGCGCAAGCCUGAUGCAGCCAUGCCGCGUGUGUGAAGAAGGCCUUCGGGUUGUAAAGCACUUUCAGCGGGGAGGAAGGCGAUAAGGUUAAUAACCUUGUCGAUUGACGUUACCCGCAGAAGAAGCACCGGCUAACUCCGUGCCAGCAGCCGCGGUAAUACGGAGGGUGCAAGCGUUAAUCGGAAUUACUGGGCGUAAAGCGCACGCAGGCGGUCUGUCAAGUCGGAUGUGAAAUCCCCGGGCUUAACCUGGGAACUGCAUUCGAAACUGGCAGGCUAGAGUCUUGUAGAGGGGGGUAGAAUUCCAGGUGUAGCGGUGAAAUGCGUAGAGAUCUGGAGGAAUACCGGUGGCGAAGGCGGCCCCCUGGACAAAGACUGACGCUCAGGUGCGAAAGCGUGGGGAGCAAACAGGAUUAGAUACCCUGGUAGUCCACGCCGUAAACGAUGUCGAUUUGGAGGUUGUGCCCUUGAGGCGUGGCUUCCGGAGCUAACGCGUUAAAUCGACCGCCUGGGGAGUACGGCCGCAAGGUUAAAACUCAAAUGAAUUGACGGGGGCCCGCACAAGCGGUGGAGCAUGUGGUUUAAUUCGAUGCAACGCGAAGAACCUUACCUGGUCUUGACAUCCACAGAACUUUCCAGAGAUGGAUUGGUGCCUUCGGGAACUGUGAGACAGGUGCUGCAUGGCUGUCGUCAGCUCGUGUUGUGAAAUGUUGGGUUAAGUCCCGCAACGAGCGCAACCCUUAUCCUUUGUUGCCAGCGGUUCGGCCGGGAACUCAAAGGAGACUGCCAGUGAUAAACUGGAGGAAGGUGGGGAUGACGUCAAGUCAUCAUGGCCCUUACGACCAGGGCUACACACGUGCUACAAUGGCAUAUACAAAGAGAAGCGACCUCGCGAGAGCAAGCGGACCUCAUAAAGUAUGUCGUAGUCCGGAUUGGAGUCUGCAACUCGACUCCAUGAAGUCGGAAUCGCUAGUAAUCGUAGAUCAGAAUGCUACGGUGAAUACGUUCCCGGGCCUUGUACACACCGCCCGUCACACCAUGGGAGUGGGUUGCAAAAGAAGUAGGUAGCUUAACCUUCGGGAGGGCGCUUACCACUUUGUGAUUCAUGACUGGGGUGAAGUCGUAACAAGGUAACCGUAGGGGAACCUGCGGUUGGAUCACCU